CAGCAGCCGCGGGAAUACGGAGGGUGCAAGCGUUAAUCGGAAUUACUGGGCGUAAAGCGCACGCAGGCGGUCUGUCAAGUCAGAUGUGAAAUCCCCGGGCUUAACCUGGGAACUGCAUUUGAAACUGGCAGGCUAGAGUCUUGUAGAGGGGGGUAGAAUUCCAGGUGUAGCGGUGAAAUGCGUAGAGAUCUGGAGGAAUACCGGUGGCGAAGGCGGCCCCCUGGACAAAGACUGACGCUCAGGUGCGAAAGCGUGGGGAGCAAACAGGAUUAGAUACCCCGGUAGUCCUGUCUCUUAUACC
RNAcentral lists this ribosomal RNA (301 nucleotides) under uncultured bacterium. Its description in RNAcentral is "partial 16S ribosomal RNA". It matches the Rfam family "Bacterial small subunit ribosomal RNA", at positions 509 to 808 of the family's 1533-position model. The record is from RNAcentral.